This 29-nucleotide small RNA is filed under the name Bombyx mori (domestic silkworm). Its description in RNAcentral is "ovarian small RNA-25513". Lineage: Eukaryota; Metazoa; Arthropoda; Insecta; Lepidoptera; Bombycidae. The record is from RNAcentral.
UCACUUUUUUUAACAUUAUAGCGGAGCCC